UGUCGUGUUAUCGACAAGUGAAUUCAUAGCUUGUCAGAAGGCAGACCCGGAGAACUGAAACAUCUUAGUACCCGGAGGAAGAGAAAGAAAAAUCGAUUCCCUGAGUAGCGGCGAGCGAAACGGGAAAAGCCCAAACCAAUAAGCUUGCUUAUUGGGGUUGUAGGACACUCUAUACGGAGUUACAAAGGAAUAUAUUAAACGAAUCAUCUGGAAAGUUGAAUCAAAGAAGGUAAUAAUCCUGUAGUUGAAAAUAU
Molecule: ribosomal RNA, 254 nt
Filed under: Staphylococcus haemolyticus
Lineage: Bacteria; Bacillati; Bacillota; Bacilli; Caryophanales; Staphylococcaceae
Description: partial 23S ribosomal RNA
Rfam family: Bacterial large subunit ribosomal RNA
Source: RNAcentral